Molecule: long non-coding RNA, 1151 nt
Organism: Bos taurus (domestic cattle)
Lineage: Eukaryota; Metazoa; Chordata; Mammalia; Artiodactyla; Bovidae
Source: Ensembl
GCUCUAGGUGGUGGGCGCCUGCUUCUCGGUUCCCCACGACUCCCCUCCUCGCUCAGGCAGCGACUGUUUCUUUCCAGAGCUUCGCGUCUUACGUCUUGGCACAGGGUGAGCAACUAGGUCCUUCAAGACCAUGGGGUGACAGUUCUCUACUGUGCUUGCCGACUGAAGAGAAUCAUUACCUUCAACCGAAGAGAUAAAACAGGACUGCAGGAAUAUGUCAGGGGAAGGCGGGUCCCCUUAAGGAUCAGGAGGACAGGCUUUCCCAGACCCUUCUUCUGUCUUGUGGGAAGGACUUUUCCUGGCUGAGGGCUGUUGUCCAGAAGAAUAGUCACAGAGGGGAGUCUGAGGCUGCUGCUGUCAUCCCUCAAUCUGGCCACCUCGGACUAUUGGUUUCUGUGGCUCAAUCUUGUUGCAUGUGUAGAAUUGGAGGAUGUGGCCCAUGACUAUUAAUUCGUUGGUAUAUCAGAACGUGGAAGCCUGGCAGUCCUCGGGUCACUGGUCUGGGAUGUGGUAUGCUCCUGACCAGGACAGUGGCUACCAGGGGACAUUGGUAUGGCCAGAUGUGUGGCUUGUGUGAGUGGGAAUCAUCUGAACGGAGCCUGGAGGAUGCCACUGGGAAUUCGUGGAGUUUUACAUACAGGACCCAUUUUAGCAUCAAACGGAAUGCUGUAUUCCUCAGGGCCGAAUGAAUGACUGAGCAAGGCUAUGACAGAUGUGCUGGUAAUUAACAGGUAGUAGAAAGUGACCAGGACCUUUAAGACAGUUGUCCCCAAAGGGAGCUGAGAGUUCACAGGAGAAAGACAAUCUUCUUGUGUUCGGAGAAGGCUGAAUGAAGGACAUGGUGUUGUACUCAUCGAGACAUUAGUUGCAAGCUGGGCGAUCCCUGGAACCUAAAGUCUCAGGGGAGACCGCUUUUGCCCAGUGCUGCUUCUCCAUGGGUCAGAGGUUUAAACUUGGACUUGAGAAGUUUCCUGGUGGGGUGAUAGAAAACAGAUGUGAUUGCCUAUGGUUCUGGUGCUCAGAACUCAGGGCCCAUCUGCCUCCUUUUUGUGCUCACAGGACUGACCGAAACUAGGGUCUGAGCUUCAGUUCUUCUUCCACACUCACUAGCAGAUGGAGUAGUUAUGUGUAGCAGAUGGAUGGUGUUAUGU